Molecule: non-coding RNA, 75 nt
Organism: Trichonephila clavata
Lineage: Eukaryota; Metazoa; Arthropoda; Arachnida; Araneae; Nephilidae
Source: the annotation of a GenBank genome assembly
GCCCCUGUAGCGCAACGAAUAGCGCAUUGGAUUUUUAACCCAAAGGGCGUGGGUGUUCGAAUCCCACCUGGGAUG